UUCUCUUCCUCCUCCUCCCCCUCAUCCCUGAAUAAGGUCACUUGACUGAUUCCUGCCUCAGCUGGCUUUGUGUGCCAACAGACAAGUCACAGGGAUUCUGGUGAGCUCAGAGAGCUGGUUGGGAAAAGCAUUUCUGCCCUGUGGGCUCCUGGCAGGCAGCAGAAGCCUGACUAAAGCUUCCAAACUCUUGUCAUUAGUGUUAUUGAUGAGCACUACUCACUCCUUGCUCGUCACUGACACUCUAAAUAACAGCUUACAGGACUGUGUUUGAAAACAAGAAAUGUGAUGUUUGAAGAUAAAUGUUUUGCUGUCUCCUUCUGCUUUAGGAGGGUGAGAUCGGGCCGAACAGUUCGGCUGAAAUCAGCGUGUUCUUUAAGCCCCAGGAAGCCCGGGUCUAUAAGCAAACAGUUUACUGUGAUAUCUCAGGUACAGCUCCUUCCCCUGCCUGUCACUGCAGCGAAGGUGAGGUGCAAACACUCCCCCAGAUCACUGGGCUCCUGUGUAGCUGCUGGCAAGGGUCCGUGGUCAGCAGGACAGUGCUGGUACAUCCCCAGUCCCUGCAGCUUCCAGGGGAUCUCCUCUCUCUGGAAUUUUCCCCUCUCAGCUGUUGAGAAUGCUGCCUGUAUUUAGUGAGCUCCUCCUCCCUUUCGAGAACACUCUCUGAAGUGCACCCAGAAGGAGGAAGGGCAACAUUUCUGGCACUUCCUAAAGUUCCACUACCAAAAUAGGGGUAAAGAGGAAAGGAUGGUCUCUAUGGAUGUACCGUAUCUCCUGAGGGAAGAGAAGGAUCCGUAUCUUUGCCUGGGACGUCAGGAGCUGGUCCCAUGCAGCUCAGAGUCAGGGACUAGCACUAAGGCAGCCUGGAGAAUGCAGGACAGUGGAAGGAAUUGCUGUACUGAAAUAGAAAUCUCUCCCCAGGCUGUGAGAAGAGGCUGCCCCUGGUCCUCACUGGGGAAGGACUCGGGCCCCAGCUCAACUUCUACUUUAAGGAAGUGGACAUCGGGGAGGUUUUUGUCAGCGCAAACAACCGCUUUGAGGCAGUCCUGUUUAACAGUGGGCCUAUUGAGGCUCCCUUCAGCCUCACCCCUCCAAGCACAGCCGUGGGCUCCUGCUUCACCUUCCAGCCCCAGGAGGGCAUCGUGGCACCAAAUGCGCUCCAGGCCAUCCGGAUCUCCUUCUGUACCACCAUCCUGGGGGCCUUUGAGGAAGAAUUCAGCUUCCAUGUGACUAAAGCCCCCAAGCCUGCAAC
This 1249-nucleotide long non-coding RNA is filed under the name Parus major (Great Tit). RNAcentral describes it as "lncRNA (ENSPMJG00000001996.1)". The record is from RNAcentral. Lineage: Eukaryota; Metazoa; Chordata; Aves; Passeriformes; Paridae.